This 86-nucleotide transfer RNA is filed under the name Methanobacteriota archaeon. Its description in RNAcentral is "Euryarchaeota archaeon tRNA-Ser". It matches the Rfam family "tRNA". Rfam says of the family: Transfer RNA (tRNA) molecules are approximately 80 nucleotides in length. Their secondary structure includes four short double-helical elements and three loops (D, anti-codon, and T loops). Lineage: Archaea; Methanobacteriati; Methanobacteriota. The record is from RNAcentral.
GCCGAGGUGGCUCAGCCCGGUACGGCGCGAGCCUGGAAAGCUCGUGAGGUUUUUACCUCUCGGGAGUUCAAAUCUCCCCCUCGGCG